AAAUUGAAGAGUUUGAUCAUGGCUCAGAUUGAACGCUGGCGGCAGGCCUAACACAUGCAAGUCGAGCGGUAGCACAGAGAGCUUGCUCUCGGGUGACGAGCGGC
This 104-nucleotide ribosomal RNA is filed under the name Klebsiella pneumoniae. Its description in RNAcentral is "partial 16S ribosomal RNA". It matches the Rfam family "Bacterial small subunit ribosomal RNA", at positions 1 to 99 of the family's 1533-position model. RNAcentral also lists the same sequence under 1 other name. Lineage: Bacteria; Pseudomonadati; Pseudomonadota; Gammaproteobacteria; Enterobacterales; Enterobacteriaceae. The record is from RNAcentral.